UUUUCUCCCUCAGCCCUGGGAGGCUGAGCCCUGUCUUCCUGAUGGGAUGCUAUACCCAAGUUCAGCAGUACCAAAGUCAAGGGGAGUGACCAAAAGUGACCCAAAACUGCUGUGAUCUACUUUUUUUUUAAGGCUCUGCCAUUUUGUUUUAUUUCUUAAGGCAAGACUCUGAAAGUGUUCUGCAGGAGACACCUGGGUGCUGGGACUGGAGAAGCAGCCUGGCUGGGUCACCAAGGGGCUGUGUCCCUGCUCCCAACCUUUGGGGAUCCUGAGAACUGGAAAUAGUUGCUCCUUUUCUCCCUCAGCCCUGUCUUGCUGAUGGGAUGCUAUACCCAAGUUCAGCAGUACCCAAAGUCAAGGGGAGUGACCAAAAGUGACCCAAAACUGCUGUGAUCCACAGACUUGCAGCCUCUUUGCCUGGUUUAAAGCCUGGUAAAGGUUUGUACUGCUUGCCCCUUGCAUCUCCUCCUGGUGUUUUCAGGGUUAAGAGCUGCUGAAGAGCACAUCUUAUUGCCACCCAGCCCCUUCUGUGUGGGUUUCCUCCACCAGCCGUGCCCCAGGUCUCCAAAGCUGCCACAAGCACCAGGUCAUAGAGCAUCUCUUCCCCUGAUGUGACCAACUACACCCACAUCCAGAUCUGCCUCGCUGACCUUGCGUGUCCCCAUUCCCGGAAAGCCUCGGCCAUUUGCCUGCUCCGUAACCUCCAGCCAACACAGCUUGGGAAGCUGUGUUUCGUUUUCGGAUGAAGAGCGAGCCUCGCAGGGUAGCUGACAAGUUUGCAGUCCUUGCUCUGAGUCAGGCAUUGAAUUUUACUCAGUUGUUUUAUCUGGAGACAAAAGCAACAAACACCCCUUGCAGUAGAGCCACCCAGAGCUACCAGGUCAUAUGAGGAACAUCUCUGUUGAGCAUCUCCAGUGUCGACGACAACUCUUGCUCAGCACCUUCUGGACAUGGAAGUGAAGAGCUGUUUUGGACAGGAGCUGGUUCAAGCCUGUGGAUUCUGGGGUGUUUCUUCAUCCAUCUCUUUCCACCAUCAGUGCAGGAGGUACCCUCUUUACAAACGCUGGUUUUCCCAAAUCCUGGCAAGGAUUUAGUAAGGAUCAGAAACGAGGCUAAUAAGGCUUAUUGAGCCUCAGAUGUGUUUUGCACAUAAAACAUGACACCACUGAACGGGGAGGGUAUUAAUGCUACCACUGAGAUGAUGCACUAAAUUAUUGGUUGGUUAACAUCAUUUUAUUUACCACAAACUGGGGGCAGACUUUGCAGUGUUGGGAAAUUCAAGACCCCAGAAUAACUACAUGGUGGGAUAGUGUCACGGGAUAUGUGAAACAUUUUCUUUCUGGAAAAGACAGGCUGAGCUGCUGGUACGAUAGCUGAGCCUUUGCUCAAUCCUGGCACCUGUAUUGUAGGUAGGAUUAAAUUUCUGCUUCCUAACAGCAGAAAAUCAGGUCCAUACGUUUCUAUUUGGACAGUACAAUUAACAAAAAAAAUAACUCCAUUAGCAGGUUGUUCCGGAAACCAGGCGCUGGGCUGCAAUUAACAGCACACAGAUUACCUUCGUGUGGAAAUCAACACGUGCCAACAGUAGCCGGUGUUCCUCUGAUUUUGGGAUAAAGAAAAGGGAUUUUUUGAUCCAGAGGUACUAUACGCGAUUUGUUGUAUUUUUCUUCCUCCUCCUGAUCCUUUUCUCACAGUUCUGUUCA
RNAcentral lists this long non-coding RNA (1703 nucleotides) under Calidris pugnax (ruff). RNAcentral describes it as "lncRNA (ENSCPUG00000011174.1)". Lineage: Eukaryota; Metazoa; Chordata; Aves; Charadriiformes; Scolopacidae. The record is from RNAcentral.